GAAAUAUAGGCUAAUUACUAUAAACCAUGGGCCUUCAAAGCCCAAACUGUGAACCACUCACUAUUUCUGUAACUCCUAAGACUGCG
This 86-nucleotide transfer RNA is filed under the name Pholidoscelis exsul (Common Puerto Rican ameiva). RNAcentral describes it as "partial tRNA-Trp". Lineage: Eukaryota; Metazoa; Chordata; Lepidosauria; Squamata; Teiidae. The record is from RNAcentral.